AGCGCACUGCUCAGUAACACGUGGACAACCUGCCCUGAGGACUGGAAUAAUCCCGGGAAACUGGGGGUAAUUCCAGAUAUGUCAGAACUCCUGGAAUGGGUUCUGGCAGAAAGGCUCCGGCGCCUCAGGAUGGGUCUGCGGCCUAUCAGGGUAGUAGUGGGUGUAACGUACCUACUAGCCCACGACGGGUACGGGUUGUGAGAGCAAGAGCCCGGAGAUGGAUUCUGAGACAUGAAUCCAGGCCCUACGGGGUGCAGCAGGCGCGAAAACUUUACAAUGCGGGCAACCGCGAUAAGGGGACCUCGAGUGCUGGGUUACAAACCUGGCUGUUGGGCUGCCUAAAAAGCAGUCUAUAGCAAGGGCCGGGCAAGACCGGUGCCAGCCGCCGCGGUAACACCGGCGGCUCGAGUGGUAACCGCUGUUAUUGGGUCUAAAGGGUCUGUAGCCUGCCGGCUAAGUCUCUUGGGAAAUCUGGCAUCUCAAGUGUCAGGCUGCCAGGGGAUACUGGUCAGCUUGGGACCGGGAGAGGUGAGAGGUACCUCGGGGGUAGGGGUGAAAUCUUGUAAUCCUCGAGGGACCACCAGUGGCGAAGGCGUCUCA
RNAcentral lists this ribosomal RNA (600 nucleotides) under uncultured archaeon. RNAcentral describes it as "bacterial SSU rRNA". It matches the Rfam family "Archaeal small subunit ribosomal RNA", at positions 80 to 679 of the family's 1478-position model. The record is from RNAcentral.